RNAcentral lists this transfer RNA (67 nucleotides) under Anoplocephala magna. RNAcentral's name for it is "tRNA-Pro". The record is from RNAcentral. Lineage: Eukaryota; Metazoa; Platyhelminthes; Cestoda; Cyclophyllidea; Anoplocephalidae.
CUUACUUUAGUUUAAAUUAGAAUGGGGGUUUUGGGGAUCUUUGGUCUCGGUUUGUGGAGAAGUUUGG